This is a long non-coding RNA of Perognathus longimembris pacificus (Pacific pocket mouse), 372 nucleotides long. RefSeq lists it as uncharacterized. Lineage: Eukaryota; Metazoa; Chordata; Mammalia; Rodentia; Heteromyidae. The record is from RefSeq and is a predicted model, not a curated record. The transcript has 4 exons.
UUUAGAUAUGGAGAGAAAGACCUCAUAUUUGUAUGGCUAGUGAAGAUCUUCUCUCAAUCUGUGGGCUUUCUAUUUAUCUUGCUAGCUAUGCCCUUUGCCAUGCAGAAGCUCUUCAUUUUAAUGCAAUCUCAUCUAUCCAGGCUUUCUUUGAUUUGUUGUGUUUCUGGAUCUUUAUUUAGGAAGUUUCAACCUGAGCCAAGGAGCCCUACUAUAUCCCCCAGCCCUUCCUAUAGUAUUUUCAGUGUAUCUGUCCCUCAAGGUCUUUGAUCCAUUUGUAGUUGAUUCUGAAGCAGGAUAAUAUAAAAGGAUCUAACUUCAGUUUCCUACAGGUGUAUAGCCAAUUCUGCCAACACCAUUUGUUGAAGAGGCUGU